CUCCCUCUGGCCUGCUGCACUGUCUCUAAAAGAUGACAAAUAAACAUCUGGAAAUGGAGAAUCACAAGAUGUCUUAAAACCUCUGUUCAAGCUUUCAUCUAUCAAACCCUUACUGAGCCCUGAUGUGGUUUAAGUGUCCAUGCAUGGGUCUGGAACUGCUUGCCUCAGCCCCUGGAGGAUCAGAGUUCUCAUGCGCUCUUCAGGGUAUUGACAGAGGGCCCAAUACGUUGGGCUGAUACACUGUCCUGCCUGCCUCUGACAGCUCAGAUUUAGAAAUUACCUCGGUCGUGUGGAAGAUGGUGAUCAGAGUGACAAUGCUCCAGUAUAACCUCCAGGUCCAGCUUAAAACUACAGAACAUUACAGAUGGAAGAACCUUUAUAAUUAAUAACCCCCUUAACAUGUACCAGGUGCUGUGCAAAGAAUUUAUCAUUCCAUAACUCACUUAAGCCUCACCAACAACUUCAAAGGGAGUUACAGUUAUUAUUUCUGCUUUAAAGAUGAAGAAACUCAGACUCAGAACGGUUAAUCAUAUUGCCUCGGGAACACAGUGAGCAAGUGGCUGAGCUGGUAUAUGAAACCAGAUUUGUCUGACUGAUGGUAGAAUCCUCACUUUUUAAUACUGUGCAGUAGAUCACUUGUAUCAUUAUUCCAACCUUUUUUUCUUCUCUAAUGUUUUGCAACAAAUGAUUUGGCUGAUCCUUUUCAAUAACCCUAUCCACCUCAAAAAUAAGCAACCUCCAAAGCUCUUUAUUCUUAUCUAAUUUAAAAACCACCAAUCAAAUUGAACUCUAUAAGAACACUACUGAACUCUGAACCACAGGUGUGUAGACUCUUUCCCCAAGUCACAUAAUCACUUAGUCGGACAGCUGGAACUAGAACCCAGGACUCUUCAUUCCCAGGCCAUUUCUCUGCUUGCUCUGUACUUGCUCCAAAGCACAAGGCAAAUCCAUUCUGCAUCUGAUAGAAGUUGGAGUGAUGCCAAUAGAGGAUGCCAGGGGAAAGCCCUGCUAUAUCUAAGAGGACUACAGAAGAUAUUGAGAAACAAGUGUAAAUUUCUGAUUACUAAUGAUGAAAGAUGAGCUUGCUUUCUAGAACAUUCUAUGAUGCAGUUACCCACUUCCCAAGGA
This 1128-nucleotide long non-coding RNA is filed under the name Equus caballus (horse). RNAcentral's name for it is "lncRNA (ENSECAG00000032791.2)". The record is from RNAcentral. Lineage: Eukaryota; Metazoa; Chordata; Mammalia; Perissodactyla; Equidae.